RNAcentral lists this ribosomal RNA (536 nucleotides) under Taranis sp. BOLD:ACT4448. RNAcentral's name for it is "partial 12S ribosomal RNA". The record is from RNAcentral. Lineage: Eukaryota; Metazoa; Mollusca; Gastropoda; Neogastropoda; Raphitomidae.
AACCAGUAAGUUAAGUUAUAUAUCUUGGUAAAAAGACAGUUAGACAAAAAUUAGUUUAUCGAUUUUCUUUAUAAAAGUAAAAUUUAAUAUAGAUACAAUAGAAUAAUAAUAACUUCAUUGUUGAAUCUGUGAUAUCUUUAAGGGAAACUGGGAUUGGAUACCCCAUUAUUUCUAGAAGUAAAUAAAGAAAUUUACCAGAGUACUACAAAUAAAAUAAUUUAAAACUCAAAGAGCUUGGCGGUAUUUUAGACCACUUAGGGGAACCUGUCUCAUAAUCGACAAUCCACGUUAAACCUUACCUUUUUUAGUAAUCAACUUGUAUACCGUUGUCAUCAGGUAACUUUUAAAGAAAAAAGAAGUUAGCUAGAAAAUUUAUUUAAAUUAAGAUGUCAAAUCAAGGUGCAGUUUAUAAAAAGGAGAAGAUGGGUUACAAUUAUAAAUUAUAAUAUGGAUAUGCAUAUUGUAAUAAGGCUUGAAGGAGGACUUAAAAGUAAAUUUUUAUAUCAAAAUAAUUUGAACAAGGCUCUAAAAUGUGC